GAGUUUGAUCCUGGCUCAGGACGAAUGCUUGCGGCGUGCCUAAGAAAUGCAAGUCGAACGGGAGAGAGAGCAAUCUUUCUCUAGUGGCGAACGGUCGCGUAACACGUAGGCAACCUGCCCGAAAGUGGGGGACAACAGCCUGAAAGGGCUGCUAAUACCGCAUGUGGCCCUCUUGUGGCAUCACGAGAGGUCUAAAGCUUAAUGCGCUUUCGGAUGGGCUUGCGGUCUAUCAGGUAGUUGGUGGGGUAAUGGCCUACCAAGCCGACGACGGGUAGCUGGUCUGAGAGGACGAUCAGCCGGAUUGGGACUGAGAUACGGCCCAGACUCCUACGGGGGGCAGCAAUUAGGAAUCUUGCGCAAUGGGGGCAACCCUGACGCAGCGACGCCGCGUGCGGGAUGAAGGCAUUCGUGUCGUAAACCGCUUUUUACGGGGAAGAAGAAUUUGACGGUACCCGUCGAAUAAGCCCCGGCUAACUACGUGCCAGCAGCCGCGGUAAUACGUAGGGGGCGAGCGUUGUCCGAAGUUACUGGGCGUAAAGCGCGCGUAGGCGGUCAUUUAAGUUCGGGGUGAAAGGUUCAGCGCUCAACGCGAACAGUGCCUUGAAUACUGGGUGACUUGAGUUCGGGAGAGGGCAGUGGAAUUCCUGGUGUAGCGGUGAAAUGCGUAGAUAUCAGGAGGAACACCGAUGGCGAAGGCAGCUGCCNGGCCUAGAACUGACGCUGAGGUGCGAAAGCGUGGGGAGCGAACGGGAUUAGAUAUCCCGGUAGUCCACGCCGUAAACGAUGAGUGCUAGGUGUUCGGGGUAUCGACCCCCCGGGUGCCGCCGCUAACGCAGUAAGCACUCCGCCUGGGGAGUACGGCCGCAAGGUUGAAACUCAAAGGAAUUGACGGGGGCCCGCACAAGCGGUGGAGCAUGUGGAUUAAUUCGUCACUAACCGAAGAACCUUACCCAGGCUUGACAUCGCGUGUAACUCAGUGAAAGCUGAGCCCCUCCGCAAGGAGGCACAAAGACAGGUGUUGCAUGGCUGUCGUCAGCUCGUGUCGUGAGAUGUUGGGUUAAGUCCCGCAACGAGCGCAACCCUCACCGUAUGUUGCCAGCGUAAAGUCGGGAACUCUUACGGAACUGCCCGUGCAAGCGGGAGGAAGGUGGGGAUGACGUCAAGUCGGCAUGGCCCUUACGCCUGGGGCUUCACACAUGCUACAAUGGGCAGCAACAGACGGCUCCGAGACCGCGAGGUGGAGGGAAUCCGAGAAAUCUGUCCUCAGUUCGGAUUGCAGGCUGCAACUCGCCUGCAUGAAGCUGGAAUCGCUAGUAACCGCAGGUCAGCUAAACUGCGGUGAAUACGUUCCCGGGCCUUGUACACACCGCCCGUCAAGUCACCUGAAUUGUCUGCACCCGAAGCCAGUGGCCGAACCCCAGCAAUGGGGGCGGAGCUGUCUAAGGUGUGGGGAGUAAGGGGGACUAAGUCGUAACAAGGUAACCGU
RNAcentral lists this ribosomal RNA (1486 nucleotides) under uncultured bacterium. Its description in RNAcentral is "bacterial SSU rRNA". It matches the Rfam family "Bacterial small subunit ribosomal RNA". The record is from RNAcentral.